UGAGCCAACAACAAAACCUGGAAACAGAAAUUCACUGUCAGCCAAACCUACAUUUCAUGUUUCAUCAUCAGUUCAUGGUCUGUGGCGUAUCGUCAUCGUCUCUGUGGGUUUAGCAGCUCUUUCAAUAACUGUUGUGAGCGUCAACAUUUGGACCAGAACUAAAGAGCAUAAAGAAGAUGACGGUGCAGUGAACGAUGAAAACAUCUGAUUUUGUUUCCACCAAACUUUUUUCAACAUCAACUCAGAAAAACUAUCACUGUUGUGUAAUUUCAUUUUAUAUAAUGUCACAUUUUAAGACUAUUGUACCAUAAAACAAUAUGGUAUUAUAGUUAUAACGGAAUUAAAACAAUAUUUCUACAUGUAAUAUUUAGAGGGUUUUUAAGUAUUGCACAAAUUUUGAUGUUUGUUUCUUUAAAUGAAAUAAGUAAUGAAAAAUUUAAUUUUGUCAUGAAUUGUAGGUGAGGUGGUGAGAGAACGCAGGCAGGACCCAGUUAUAGAUGAAUGAUGGUGAGUUUAAUAAUGGAAAACAGCUCAGGCAGUCCAGAUUACAGGCUGCAAGGCAGAGCAGAAGCUAAAGCUCAGCGCCGGUAGCUAACAGUAACAAUAAAUGGACUUACAAGAGCUAAAGCCUACAGGACUCAUCAGUACAACUGAUACAACAAAACGUGACAAACAACACGACUGACUGACUGAGAUACAAGACAAGGAUCCGACAAGAGACAAGAGACAAAGACAUAAAUACACAGAGGGUGAUCACAGAAGACGAGACGCCUGGAACAAAUCAGGACAGCACAGAGACUCAGGAACAGAACCUAUAGAAACACAGAGAAACUCAAAUCCUCACACAUUUUGCUUAACAAGCAGAAAUCAAAAAUCACAUUAAAGAAACA
Molecule: long non-coding RNA, 890 nt
Organism: Poecilia latipinna (sailfin molly)
Lineage: Eukaryota; Metazoa; Chordata; Actinopteri; Cyprinodontiformes; Poeciliidae
Exons: 3
Source: RefSeq, a predicted model, not a curated record